GGUUAAGCGACUAAGCGUACACGGUGGAUGCCCUGGCAGUCAGAGGCGAUGAAGGACGUGCUAAUCUGCGAUAAGCGUCGGUAAGGUGAUAUGAACCGUUAUAACCGGCGAUUUCCGAAUGGGGAAACCCAGUGUGAUUCGUCACACUAUCAUUAACUGAAUCCAUAGGUUAAUGAGGCGAACCGGGGGAACUGAAACAUCUAAGUACCCCGAGGAAAAGAAAUCAACCGAGAUUCCCCCAGUAGCGGCGAGCGAACGGGGAGCAGCCCAGAGCCUGAAUCAGUGUGUGUGUUAGUGGAAGCGUCUGGAAAGGCGUGCGAUACAGGGUGACAGCCCCGUACACAAAAAUGCACAUACUGUGAGCUCGAUGAGUAGGGCGGGACACGUGGUAUCCUGUCUGAAUAUGGGGGGACCAUCCUCCAAGGCUAAAUACUCCUGACUGACCGAUAGUGAACCAGUACCGUGAGGGAAAGGCGAAAAGAACCCCGGCGAGGGGAGUGAAAAAGAACCUGAAACCGUGUACGUACAAGCAGUGGGAGCACGCUUAGGCGUGUGACUGCGUACCUUUUGUAUAAUGGGUCAGCGACUUAUAUUCUGUAGCAAGGUUAACCGAAUAGGGGAGCCGAAGGGAAACCGAGUCUUAACUGGGCGUUAAGUUGCAGGGUAUAGACCCGAAACCCGGUGAUCUAGCCAUGGGCAGGUUGAAGGUUGGGUAACACUAACUGGAGGACCGAACCGACUAAUGUUGAAAAAUUAGCGGAUGACUUGUGGCUGGGGGUGAAAGGCCAAUCAAACCGGGAGAUAGCUGGUUCUCCCCGAAAGCUAUUUAGGUAGCGCCUCGUGAAUUCAUCUCCGGGGGUAGAGCACUGUUUCGGCAAGGGGGUCAUCCCGACUUACCAACCCGAUGCAAACUGCGAAUACCGGAGAAUGUUAUCACGGGAGACACACGGCGGGUGCUAACGUCCGUCGUGAAGAGGGAAACAACCCAGACCGCCAGCUAAGGUCCCAAAGUCAUGGUUA
This 1020-nucleotide ribosomal RNA is filed under the name Shigella flexneri. RNAcentral describes it as "partial 23S ribosomal RNA". It matches the Rfam family "Bacterial large subunit ribosomal RNA", at positions 1 to 1061 of the family's 2925-position model. The record is from RNAcentral. Lineage: Bacteria; Pseudomonadati; Pseudomonadota; Gammaproteobacteria; Enterobacterales; Enterobacteriaceae.